Molecule: ribosomal RNA, 109 nt
Filed under: Labrus bergylta (ballan wrasse)
Lineage: Eukaryota; Metazoa; Chordata; Actinopteri; Labriformes; Labridae
Source: RNAcentral
GCUUACGGCCAUACACCCUGAACACGCCCGAUCAUCGGAAGCUAAGCAGGGUCGGGCCUGGUUAGUACUUGGAUGGGAGACCGCCUGGGAAUACCAGGUGCUGUAAGCU